GAUUUACUUCCUCCUUGACUUUAUCUCUGAGAGUCUGUCCCAGUAAGGGAUCAAAUGGGGAGGGGAUAAAAAUCAUCCUGUCUCCAGCUGUGGGGAGGUGAUGGUACCUCUCUGGUCUUUGUUAGAUGAGAACAGAUGGCCAGCCUUUGGCAGGGGACCAAUACAAGAGUGCCCACAGAUUCCCUGAGGAACCCAGUUUAUUGAUGAGCUGAAGCAUGGACACCACCCAGCUGCUUCCUGUCUCUUUCUGAGCUGACAAUAUACAGUUCUCAGAAGACCCAGUCUGCUCCUCGCUGCUAAGAGAAGAAGGAGACUCUGAAAUGGGGAAAUUCACCCCUAGUGCUCAGAGUCUCCCAUCCUCCAAAUGAACAAGUGUCAACAGCUUUCUAGGAGGACUGCAGGAUCUUGAGAGAUUCAUCUGGUCUCCAGAAUGUUUUGCCAAAGGACCCCAUGAAGCCAAGAGCAGCCAUGGUGAUUCUUUUUUUCUUUUUUUUUGGCAAUUGGGGUUAAGUGACUUGCGCAGGGUCACACAGCUAGUAAGUGUCAAGUGUUUGGUCUGAGGCCGGAUUUGAACUCAGGUCCUCCUGACUUCAGGGCUGGUGCUAUCCACCAGGC
Molecule: long non-coding RNA, 615 nt
Filed under: Phascolarctos cinereus (koala)
Lineage: Eukaryota; Metazoa; Chordata; Mammalia; Diprotodontia; Phascolarctidae
Description: lncRNA (ENSPCIG00000035716.1)
Source: RNAcentral